Molecule: long non-coding RNA, 1781 nt
Filed under: Homo sapiens (human)
Lineage: Eukaryota; Metazoa; Chordata; Mammalia; Primates; Hominidae
Description: HSALNT0247930
Source: RNAcentral
GGCUUUGGGAAUCAAGGUUCCAGCUGAAAUGUGUUUAUUUAUCAGUAACGUCUCACUUUCUGUACAUGUUCUACAUCCAUGUGGGGAAUAUUGCCACUUUUUUGUAUAUUCAUGCCCAGUAGUGGGACUAGAAAUCAUUGGUUCUAGGAAUUCUGCACAUGUGACUGGGAAUUCAUGUGCAUAUUGUUUUAUAUAUACAUACUUUGCUGGUGUGACUGAGAAGUCCGCGGGAACUACCCUUGUGUGUUCUCUAACCCGCCCUAAGCAUUCAAUCAUUCACUUUUUUGUUCAUUAAAAUUUAAUGUACUUUUAUUGUGCAUGUAGUGGUUGGCAUGCUCUAUACUGUUGAUCCAGAGAUGAAUAAUAUGUGGGCUUGCUCUCCAGAAACUGAGCACAGCCAAGAAAAGAGAGGCUUUUAGACAAUUCUGUCCUGUGUGGCCAAUACUUCUUUACCUUUCUGGUGUUCAGAGACAUUUCUUCAAGUGAAACUGUAGCCUUGCCUGAGUAGACACUUUGUGGAAUCUGAACAGGCGAUCUGCCCUCUGCCCUUUCUUCCUGGGGAAGGGUAUGGUUUUGGACUCUCAAAGUUCUGUCAUCAUACUCUCUGUCUCCUUAUCCAUCCAGCUUCAGCCAGUUCUCUUCACCACUUCCAAAGCGAGGAUGAAAAUUCCACCUGCUCGUCAAAACUCAGCCAGAGCUCAGCCUCCCUCCAAUGAGAAAAUGUCCCCUGUGCUACAAGCUGAAGCCACAAAGACCAGUGUCAACGGAGGAGACCCUAGUGCCCACAAAUAAAGCCCAGCACUGUACAUCCACGUAAAGUCCUGGGGCUGUAAAGAGGACUUCUUUUCAGGAACCCAGGAGGACCAAAUCAGGUCUGUUUCCCCAAAGCGCAGAGAGGUCCUUGAGGCCGUGGUUCUCAAUUCUAGAAAAGGGAUAUGUGCAUAUCAAAGUCAUCUGGAAGCCUUUUCCAAACUUCUACUCUGCCCCUCUGGGGAGAUGGAGAUUUUCAGGCUUGUUCCCACUCCUGCCUGAGAAACCCUGCCUUAGCAGAAUGCCAGCUGGGGUUAUAGACUUCACCUCUGCAGAAAAGGAGGAGCAGUGACUAAAGUACAUAAAACUUCAGAAGACACAGCUCUCCCCAACCUACUGACUCAUCAUAUCCAGCAGAUCAGAUGCAUUUUCAUAACUUCCUAGUAAUUACAUUUAUAUUCAAAAAUAAUUACUUUCUGAAUUUAAUUGUUGGCUGAGUAUUUACAGUCUGUCAGAGGAAAUCCAAAAGGAUAUUGCAAGAUGAGGAGGUGUCCUCGCCUCUAUGCCAGGCCAAGUCCCAGGUCAAGGCCGGGCUGCCAGAGUGGGGUUGGGGAAGUGAUAGAAGCAGAAACUGCAUCUUAAAAGGACUGCUUACAGAACGAGGUGCUCGCCAGAAGCAAAAAACAAAGGAUGGAUGACAGAGCUUCCUGCAAAUGUUUGAAGCACUAUUGUGGGCAAGAGGGAAAUGCUUUGUUUUGUUUGGUGCCAGAGGAUAGAAUUAGAACAGACAGGAAGAGUUUCUAAAGACCCAGACUUUGCAUCAACGUGAAAAGAACAUUGUAACAGUUGUUCAGAAAAGCAAUGGUCAUCUUCUAAGAAGGAAGGAUGCCACCUUUGAACUUGUUCAGGAAGUUCACCUGUCAGGGAUCCCAGGGAAGACACUUCUGAUUGGGAUCAGUUCAACCAGAUGACCUCCAAGAUUCUGUGUAAGAGGUGAAUUUGACGUUUAGAAAUGAGCCGUAAAGAACCAG